Molecule: long non-coding RNA, 924 nt
Organism: Lagopus muta (rock ptarmigan)
Lineage: Eukaryota; Metazoa; Chordata; Aves; Galliformes; Phasianidae
Exons: 6
Source: RefSeq, a predicted model, not a curated record
UUUUCAUUUAGAUAGUGAUCAAAAUAUGACAACAGAAUUUUAGAUGUGAGAAAUAUUCCAGCUGGGAAAUUCUUGUUACUCUGAUCCUGUUUGCUAGAGAGACAGUAGAGUCCCAGGCCUUUACUACUUUCCCAUUGGGGUCUACCAAGUAUUUCCAGAAGUUCCAGUGUAUUUUGUAAGCUGUCUGCCAAGAAUGAACAAAGCCUCUUCAAGUAGCAUUUAGCUAUAAUGCAGAUCACAACUGGAAGAACAGUACAGUAUGGCUGUUGCAAUGUUUGACAGUAUCCUGUGUCAGGAAUUCUACACUGGGGAAACAACCCAUUGCUGUUCCAGAUUACUCACCAAUUAAGUAUUUGAAGGCAGGAAUUGCACCAGCUCCACUGACUGCAACUUUGCUGAACAUAGGAAAGGAGGCACCGAAGAAAAAUCUUCCAUCAUCUCUUUUUAAUAUUUUUAUUCAAGUGGAGGACAGGUUAUAUCUGUACAUAUUUACAUCAGGAAAAAAGAGUAUUUCAGAAUUAGCUUUAAAAGAAUGGAAUCCAGGAAAAAAAAAAUUUACUAAAACUCAUGCAGUUAAAAGGCAGAAAUAAGUUCCAAAAGUAAUAUGUACAAAGAUAACGUGCUUUAAGUUUAAUAGCUGCCAUCCAGUGCAAUUCAUCCUGCUGCACAAAGGACAGGCAUGCAGGCAAACCCUGCUUGCCACGUAUGCAGGGAGCAGCGUGCAGAAGGAACACUCUGACACACAGAGGUGAGACCUGCAAAUGCUUUAUUUAAAGAGUGCAAAGACCUACGGAGCGAUAUCAAAGCAAGCACGGGCAACAUUCCAGUUCAAGAGUUGCAAAUGCAAAUCUAUCUGCAUGCAUCGGGUUGAAGUCCAACCUCUCCCUCCCCCCUUCGGUUUCCACAGACAUGCGAGGAGCGUGC